Molecule: ribosomal RNA, 450 nt
Filed under: uncultured bacterium
Lineage: Bacteria
Description: partial 16S ribosomal RNA
Rfam family: Bacterial small subunit ribosomal RNA
Source: RNAcentral
CCUACGGGAGGCUGCAGUGGGGAAUUUUGGACAAUGGGGGCAACCCUGAUCCAGCCAUGCCGCGUGCGGGAAGAAGGCCUUCGGGUUGUAAACCGCUUUCGGCCGGAACGAAAUCGCCGGGGAGAACAUCCCCGGUGGAUGACGGUACCGGAAGAAGAAGCACCGGCUAACUACGUGCCAGCAGCCGCGGUAAUACGUAGGGUGCGAGCGUUAAGCGAAGUUACUGGGGGCAAAGCGCGAACACACGGUUGAAAGCCCCGGGCUUAACCUGGGAACUGCGUUUGUGACUGGCGGGCUGGAGUGCGGAAGAGGGAGGUGGAAUUCCACGUGUAGCAGUGAAAUGCGUAGAGAUGUGGAGGAACACCGAUGGCGAAGGCAGCCUCCUGGUCUAGCACUGACGCUCAUGCACGAAAGCGUGGGGAGCAAACAGGAUUAGAUACCCUAGUAGUC